Molecule: long non-coding RNA, 1094 nt
Filed under: Monodelphis domestica (gray short-tailed opossum)
Lineage: Eukaryota; Metazoa; Chordata; Mammalia; Didelphimorphia; Didelphidae
Description: lncRNA (ENSMODG00000033229.2)
Source: RNAcentral
CAGGAAGUGACAAAAAGGAAUGGUCUUUAUAACUGCCAAGAACUUCCUGUGAAGAGGUCUUUCGCCUUCAACUUGAUCUUGAAGGAGCUCCAGCUUGAGACCUCAGGCUGCUCUUGGACUUUUCCCUUAGAACUACCACAUGGGAUUGGGGCCCACUCUGCUGGGGUGUCAUCUUAUCCUCUAAGAGCCCAGGGUCUGACCCCUGGGAAUAGAACCUGUGGGACAGGAGAAGGCUUCAACCAGGAAAGAAAACACAGUUAGAUUCAACCCAGAGGAACAGGUACAGUUGUACAGCCAAUGAUGGUGGGGACCAAAAAAAGCCUAUGGUAGCUGCCUUUAAAUUCUACCUGUUUAGAGAGAAGACAGUUGAGAGAGAGAACCCACCAAAAAAUAUAAUCAUCGUUGAUCAAAUGCCUACCAACCAUCAAGCUUCCCAGCUGGGACAACAGAAGGCAUGGAGCCACACUUCAGUUUGCCUAAUCUUGGAGGAAGACUUUGUCAUUGGCUUUGGUCGUGAGAUGUACUGGCCUUUUCCAUGUCCUAAUUCAAGGACACACACACACACACACACACACACACACACACACACACACACACACACGCUUUGCUCUGGGCUCUGUAUGCUACAAAUUAGAGAGUGUGAUCCUGGGUUCAUGUCAGCACAGAAUCUGCCAAAUGCCAAUUUCUUUGCCAGUGCAAGCUGUCCCCAGCCUGGGCCAAUUUGAGCAUCUUUUCCCCAUCUACUUUCCUUAAGGAUAGUCAGGGCCAUGUGAAAAAUAGGGUCUGUAGUCUCCUUUGGGGACAAAAUUGAGGAGCCUUCACAACUGGCUGGCCCGGGCCCUGCAAAUGACAUAAGAAUAAUUGAAACAGACCCUUUAAUGAGUAACACUGCCCCUAGAACACUGGCUUUUUUUCUCAGAGCUGGCUGUCAGUGAUCUUUCCCCUCCUUUUUUUUUGCUUAUAUUUAUUUGCAAAACUUUGUGUUGGGGGAUUUCUGAGAGCCCCAUCCCCACCACUCCAGAAAAAACUAUGAGCCCAGGGACUUUAUACCUCAAGCUAGCAGAGUGCUCUGAGCAAAUCUAUCCUGUUUCCAA